AUUCCUACGGGAGGCAGCAGUGAGGAAUCUUGCGCAAUGGGCGAAAGCCUGACGCAGCAACGCCGCGUGUGUGAUGAAGGUCUUCGGAUCGUAAAGCACUGUCGGGAGGGACGAAUAAGGGCCGGGUGAACAAUCCGGUCUGACGACGGUACCUCCAAAGGAAGCACCGGCUAACUCUGUGCCAGCAGCCGCGGUAAUAAU
Molecule: ribosomal RNA, 201 nt
Filed under: uncultured bacterium
Lineage: Bacteria
Description: partial 16S ribosomal RNA
Rfam family: Bacterial small subunit ribosomal RNA
Source: RNAcentral